UACUAAAAUUGGAACGAUACAGAGAAGAUUAGCAUUGCCUCUGUGAAAGUUUUGUGACAUUAAUAUGAAAAGAAUCAAAUCUGA
Molecule: small nuclear RNA, 84 nt
Organism: Cavia aperea (Brazilian guinea pig)
Lineage: Eukaryota; Metazoa; Chordata; Mammalia; Rodentia; Caviidae
Source: Ensembl